UCUGGUUGAUCCUGCCAGUAGUUAUAUGCUUGUCUCAAAGAUUAAGCCAUGCAUGUCUAAGUACACACGAAUUAAAAGUGAAACCGCAAAAGGCUCAUUAUAUCAGUUAUGGUUCCUUAGAUCGUUAACAGUUACUUGGAUAACUGUGGUAAUUCUAGAGCUAAUACAUGCAAUUAAAACAUGAACCUUAUGGGACAUGUGCUUUUAUUAGGCUAAAACCAAGCGAUCGCAAGAUCGUUAUAUUGGUUGAACUCUAGAUAACAUGCAGAUCGUAUGGUCUUGUACCGACGACAGAUCUUUCAAAUGUCUGCCCUAUCAACUUUUGAUGGUAGUAUCUAGGACUACCAUGGUUGCAACGGGUAACGGGGAAUCAGGGUUCGAUUCCGGAGAGGGAGCCUGAGAAACGGCUACCACAUCUAAGGAAGGCAGCAGGCGCGUAAAUUACCCACUCCCAGCUCGGGGAGGUAGUGACGAAAAAUAACAAUACAGGACUCAUAUCCGAGGCCCUGUAAUUGGAAUGAGUACACUUUAAAUCCUUUAACAAGGACCAAUUGGAGGGCAAGUCUGGUGCCAGCAGCCGCGGUAAUUCCAGCUCCAAUAGCGUAUAUUAAAGUUGUUGCGGUUAAAACGUUCGUAGUUGAACUUGUGCUUCAUACGGGUAGUACAACUUACAAUUGUGGUUAGUACUAUACCUUUAUGUAUGUAAGCGUAUUACCGGUGGAGUUCUUAUAUGUGAUUAAAUACUUGUAUUUUUUCAUAUGUUCCUCCUAUUUAAAAACCUGCAUUAGUGCUCUUAAACGAGUGUUAUUGUGGGCCGGUACUAUUACUUUGAACAAAUUAGAGUGCUUAAAGCAGGCUUCAAAUGCCUGAAUAUUCUGUGCAUGGGAUAAUGAAAUAAGACUCUGUUCUGCUUUCAUUGGUUUUCAGAUCAAGAGGUAAUGAUUAAUAGAAGCAGUUUGGGGGCAUUAGUAUUACGACGCGAGAGGUGAAAUUCUUGGACCGUCGUAAGACUAACUUAAGCGAAAGCAUUUGCCAAAGAUGUUUUCAUUAAUCAAGAACGAAAGUUAGAGGUUCGAAGGCGAUCAGAUACCGCCCUAGUUCUAACCAUAAACGAUGCCAGCUAGCAAUUGGGUGUAGCUACUUUUAUGGCUCUCUCAGUCGCUUCCGGGAAACCAAAGCUUUUGGGCUCCGGGGGAAGUAUGGUUGCAAAGCUGAAACUUAAAGGAAUUGACGGAAGGGCACCACCAGGAGUGGAGCCUGCGGCUUAAUUUGACUCAACACGGGAAAACUUACCAGGUCCGAACAUAAGUGUGUAAGACAGAUUGAUAGCUCUUUCUCGAAUCUAUGGUGUGGUGGUGCAUGGCCGUUCUUAGUUCGUGGAGUGAUUUGUCUGGUUAAUUCCGAUAACGAACGAGACUCAAAUAUAUUAAAUAGAUAUCUUCAGGAUUAUGGUGCUGAAGCUUAUGUAGCCUUCAUUCAUGUUGGCAGUAAAAUGCUUAUUGUGUUUGAAUGUGUUUAUGUAAGUGGAGCCGUACCUGUUGGUUUGUCCCAUUAUAAGGACACUAGCUUCUUAAAUGGACAAAUUGCGUCUAGCAAUAAUGAGAUUGAGCAAUAACAGGUCUGUGAUGCCCUUAGAUGUCCUGGGCUGCACGCGCGCUACAAUGAAAGUAUCAACGUGUAUUUCCUAGACCGAGAGGUCCGGGUAAACCGCUGAACCACUUUCAUGCUUGGGAUUGUGAACUGAAACUGUUCACAUGAACUUGGAAUUCCCAGUAAGUGUGAGUCAUUAACUCGCAUUGAUUACGUCCCUGCCCUUUGUACACACCGCCCGUCGCUACUACCGAUUGAAUUAUUUAGUGAGGUCUCCGGACGUGAUCACUGUGACGCCUUGCGUGUUACGGUUGUUUCGCAAAAGUUGACCGAACUUGAUUAUUUAGAGGAAGUAAAAGUCGUAACAAGGUUUCCGUAGGUGAACCUGCGGAAG
RNAcentral lists this ribosomal RNA (1984 nucleotides) under Drosophila melanogaster (fruit fly). Its description in RNAcentral is "SSU rRNA". It matches the Rfam family "Eukaryotic small subunit ribosomal RNA". The record is from RNAcentral. Lineage: Eukaryota; Metazoa; Arthropoda; Insecta; Diptera; Drosophilidae.